This 3764-nucleotide small RNA is filed under the name Pongo abelii (Sumatran orangutan). Its description in RNAcentral is "processed transcript". Lineage: Eukaryota; Metazoa; Chordata; Mammalia; Primates; Hominidae. The record is from RNAcentral.
UUUGACUAAGGGGAUAAGGAAAAAUAACGUGAAAGUUGCAGUCCUUAUCAGAAGUAAUUGAUUAGAAUUCAGCAAUGAAUAUGACAAAUCGUACUUAUUUCAGAUGAUGCAGCCAACACGAACGGUUGUCAUGUGUAACACAACUUUCGAUCACCGCGAAAACACCGUCCUGGGAAAGCGUCCAUGCUUGAUAUCGUUUGGUUCAUGAACAUUAAGUUUCCAGUACAGGUAAAAUCCCAGAGGAAUCCAAAGCCCUCUCUUUAUUGGCUCCUGCUCCAACCAUGACAAGUCUGAUGCCUGGUGCAGGAUUGCUUCCAAUACCAACCCCAAAUCCUUUGACUACUCUUGGUGUUUCACUUAGCAGUUUGGGAGCUAUACCAGCAGCAGCACUAGACCCCAACAUUGCAACACUUGGAGAGAUACCACAGCCACCACUUAUGGGAAAUGUGGAUCCUUCCAAAAUAGAUGAAAUUAGGAGAACGGUUUAUGUUGGAAAUCUGAAUUCCCAGACAACGACAGCUGAUCAACUACUUGAAUUUUUUAAACAAGUUGGAGAAGUGAAGUUUGUGCGGAUGGCAGGUGAUGAGACUCAGCCAACUCGGUUUGCUUUUGUGGAAUUUGCAGACCAAAAUUCUGUACCAAGGGCCCUUGCUUUUAAUGGAGUUAUGUUUGGAGACAGGCCACUGAAAAUAAAUCACUCCAACAAUGCAAUAGUAAAACCCCCUGAGAUGACACCUCAGGCUGCAGCUAAGGAGUUAGAAGAAGUAAUGAAGCGAGUACGAGAAGCUCAGUCAUUUAUCUCAGCAGCUAUUGAACCAGAGUCUGGAAAGAGCAAUGAAAGAAAAGGCGGUCGAUCUCGUUCCCAUACUCGCUCAAAAUCCAGGUCUAGCUCAAAAUCCCAUUCUAGAAGGAAAAGAUCACAAUCAAAACACAGGAGUAGAUCCCAUAAUAGAUCACGUUCAAGACAGAAAGACAGACGUAGAUCUAAGAGCCCACAUAAAAAACGCUCUAAAUCAAGGGAGAGACGGAAGUCAAGGAGUCGUUCGCGUUCACGGGACAAGAGAAAAGACACUCGAGAAAAGAUCAAGGAAAAGGAAAGAGUGAAAGAGAAAGACAGGGAAAAGGAGAGAGAGAGGGAAAAGGAACGUGAAAAAGAAAAGGAACGGGGUAAAAACAAAGAUAAAGACCGGGACAAGGAACGGGAAAAGGACCGGGAAAAAGACAAGGAAAAGGACAGAGAGAGAGAACGGGAAAAAGAGCAUGAAAAGGAUCGAGACAAAGAGAAGGAAAAGGAACAGGACAAAGAAAAGGAACGAGAAAAAGACAGAUCCAAAGAGAUAGACGAAAAAAGAAAGAAGGAUAAAAAAUCCAGAACACCACCCAGGAGUUACAAUGCAUCGCGAAGAUCUCGUAGUUCCAGCAGGGAAAGGCGUAGGAGGAGGAGCAGGAGUUCUUCCAGAUCGCCAAGAACAUCAAAAACCAUAAAAAGGAAAUCUUCUAGAUCUCCGUCCCCCAGGAGCAGAAAUAAGAAGGAUAAAAAGAGAGAAAAAGAAAGGGACCACAUCAGUGAAAGAAGAGAGAGAGAACGUUCAACGUCUAUGAGAAAGAGUUCUAAUGAUAGAGAUGGGAAGGAGAAGUUGGAGAAGAACAGUACUUCACUUAAAGAGAAAGAGCACAAUAAAGAACCAGAUUCAAGUGUGAGCAAAGAAGUAGAUGACAAGGAUGCACCAAGGACUGAGGAAAACAAAGUACAGCACAAUGGGAAUUGUCAGCUGAAUGAAGAAAACCUCUCUACCAAAACAGAAGCAGUAUAGGACCGACAAGUGUACCUCUGCACUCAAUGCUGGAAUCAAAUCCAAAGCUUUUAAUUCUCUCAACAAGAUGUAAACAGGAAGGAAAUCUAGUUGAGCAUGAAGAUAGGAUCUAACAGCUAUUCCAGUUGUUAGAUGACUUUGUGGCCAUCUUGUUAUUGAGUAAGAAAAUAAAGCAUGGACAUCAUGAAAAUAACAGAUGUUACCCAAACUCAUCUUCUAAAAUCUGUGCAUUUCCAUGGUGGCUGACACACUUGUCAUGUGGUCUGUUAGUGUUUGCCAAGAACCAUUGCAAAUAAAUUGAACAUCAAAGAUCCAAGUUUGUACUAUCCCUAAAGACUGGAGAUAAGCAUUGGAGGCUCUUUUAAAAAAUGCUAGUUACUGAAUUUUGUAUUGUUUUACUUUUUUUUUAAUUUCAAUAUAUACAGUUUGAUGAUGUGCUUGAAAUUGGUGCAAAUAUAUACACACCCUUGUAAGUGCAAAGUAUGUAAGAAGUUUUAACAUUUACUUCACAGGACUUAUGGUGAUUGUGUUAAAUUCUCACUAUUGUGUUUUCUUUUGCUCACUGUUUAGGACAACUUUUCUUUAAAAUAGUUUUGCAGAUUAAAAUUGCUUAAAUAAGUGGAUUAAAAAACUGACAAUGCAUGCUACUGUUCUCUUUCAAAAGGAAGAGCAACUGUGUUGAAUACUAAUAAUGAUGAAUUAGUAUUCAUUGUUUAGAAUCAUUGGGUCUACCCACAAAGUGAGCAUUUCUUUUUAAAUUUUCUUGACAUUUCCAAGCUUAUUACGAAUAAUAUUGCAGUGUGUCUUGUCAGCUGUAGGUGGCAAAGGUGCCCUUAUAAAAAAGGAAACUGGCUUUUCAAAAUGGGCUAUGGGAGCACAAGCUGAAGCUUUAGUGCCUUCUACAAUGUGGUAUACUGUUUUCUAGAAUUUUAUAUGUGCUAGUCAUUCUCAAUUCAUAUGGAAUCUAGAUGGAUAUUUCAUUUAUACCCAUAGAGAAGUGUGUAAGUGGUAUGUCAGAAGAGCUUCUUACUGAUUUCAUCUAAAAUAAGAAGGAAGUCCUGUUUUCAAGAAUGACAUUAGAGUCAUGCAGCUUUGGGACCAUCAGUUUUAUACUGUGAUAAUUGAAAAUGAAACAUGUUCUUAUUUUCCUUAAAUCGAAGAAAACCCUUUAGUUGUCUACAUUGGAUGGCCUUAUUACCUCUCAAUCAUCUUUUCAUAAAUGAUGUGCAGAAAUUGUACUUAAGGACUUAGGAAUAUAUGGGAGGUUAUUGGUUUUAUGUUUAAGGAUACGUUUACUUGAGUUUAAGAUACAGGUCAUCCAUCAUUCUUAGGCUCACUUUUUACAGAAAGUAUGCAAAUAGUAAAGUGACAACACUGCUAAUGUUUUUCCCCAGUACUAUAACUUGUGGUUUCUGAACUCAUUGUUGUUGUAUUUCCAAAAAAGUAAUACCUUUUAAUUAGUGUAUUAAAAAAUUAAGUAUAAUUAUUUUAAUGCAAUCUAAUACAAUCAGAUUACUGAGUUGCCUUACCUCAUGGGAAGAGUUACUUUUUUAGAUCUAAAAAGCUGAAUAGUAUGUUAGUUACUUGGUUUCAACUUGAGUUUUCUUUUAAUGUUAAUAAGAUUGAAACUUUAGUAUUUAGUGGGGAAUGGAAAGAGUUGCCCUUGUUGCAAGUAAUGAAGCCUGAUUUGAUUAUGAAGCUGCUUAAUCACUCUUCAUGUGUUCAGAAUUACUGUUUUUUUGUUUGUUUGUUUUUCCUUUUUGUCACUGUGUACAUUAAAAUUUUGGAAGAUGCUUUACUAUGUAAAGUAUAGAUGGUCAUUUUAAUCAUUCAGCCACAUACGGUUGGCUGGUAAACAGCUUAUUCUGAUACAAGAAUGCUUGGGUGCAUAUGGAAAGAUUGUGAAAGAGUGUGUCUUGCAUCAACAGCUGUCUUAUUUAUGAUAUAUAA